UACCUGCUAUCACCCUCUUACCCCCACCCAACCCUACCUGCUAUCACCCUCUUACCCCCAACAACCCUACCUGCUAUCACCCUCUUACCCCCACCAACCAUACCUGCUAUCACCACAGUAUGGCAUCGGGCCUCUGAGACUUGUUCACCUUACCCCCCGCCCCCUGAAUGCCAAGUCUCCAGACCCCUUUCCAUCCUGACCUGAUGGUCUCUGUCCGAGGGAGGGGUUACAUCCAGAUCCAUUCUGGUUACAAUGUCAGCUGAUGUUCAUUACGUCUCAACAUGUAAUGGAUGAGAUUAGGUCAUGGUUCAGGUUAUGAGGCCUGUCCAGGUGUAAACAAGAUGCUGGCUAGAAGGCAGCUGUUUUCCACUUGGAGAGACAGGGGAACAUGGUGAGGUGACCUCUAGGUGUUGAGAGAGGGGACCAUGGUGAGGUGACCUCUGUAGGUGUUGAGAGGGGAGGAACAUGGUGAGGUGACCUCUGUAGGUGUUGAGAGAGGGGAACAUGGUGAGGUGACCUCUAGGUGUUGAGAGCUUCUUCAUUAGGAGCCAGCUGACACUGUGGCCCUGGGUGUGUCCCAAAUGUCACCAUAUUCCCCAAAUCGUGCACUGCUUUUGACUAAAGCCCUGGUCAAAAGUAGUGCACUAUAUAGGGAAUAGGGUGCCAAUCAGGACGUCUCUCUUUGUCAUGGUCACUAUUCCUCCCCUGUUCUUUAGGAAGUGCUGUGGGUGUGGGGUUGUGUGUACACAGAGGGAGACUGGACUGUUUGGUGAUAAAACAUCCUCAGAGACAACAAACACAGUCAGACGCAGGUUUAUUUCUCUAAACCCUUCCAGAUCUAAGUAACACACACAAGCUAAAACACGGCUCGCUCACACAUGUACACUUUUGUGUUAUUCUUAAACCCUGGACCUGUUACACACACACACACACACACACACACACAACCCGUCCUGAUCAAUAACUCUGUCCAGGUCUCUUCCUCAUGCCUUGCACUAAUGAUUCUCAUGAAUAUAUCUUGUCAUAAUUACAGCCAGUGUGAUAUAAAUAUAUAUAUAUAAUAUACUGUACAUAGGGUAUUGCAAUGUAGUCUACUUUUUCCAUUUACAGUUGACAGGACUAAUGCUUGCUAGGGAGUUGUCUAGAUAAUCAUUAAAAAACUGUACAGUUAGCAGAAAUCAGCUUCAGUGUGGGUUUGGAGUUGUUUUUUUCCCCUCCACAAAAAUGUUUAAAUUAUAAUCGAUGGUGGUCUUUAUAAAUGUAAGUGUUAUUAACAAACAAAAAUAUCUUGCAUUUCUUUAGUGGUCUGACUUAUACUUUAUUUCUCAAGAAAAGCUAAAUGAUUAUUUUUUGGUUUCUAUUUUUUAACAUUCUCUCUCUCACAUUUCACUCAUUUGUGAGUGAUCUAAAGUUAGGAUGCCCUGUCCGGUACUCCUCAUCCCACUAGAACUGAAGUCACACACAAUACACUGUCUGGCUGUUGAAUCCCUGUUGGAGCAAAGCGAAAAGGAUUUGAAAAAAAUUAACUUUCCGCUUGUCUUAUAACGUCUCAGUAGGAAUGUAAUGACGUUGUGGGAACAAUGUUAACAACCUUAGUAGGAGAAGAAAGACGGCUCUGUUCUACUGUUGGGGUAUUAGCUGGUGGAUCAUGAUGAUGAAUAAAUGGAUUAACUCAUAGGGAUGUACAUUGUAUACAUUUUUGUUGCUGUGGCCACUUAAUUGCAGCCGGAAAAAAAUAAAAUAAAUGCAAGCAUUUUACAGUACUGUUAAAUAAUAUCAUGUGUGGAGUAGGAUAUUUGUCUUACCUAAGAGGUGGUUCCUAUUUUUUUAUGAUCUCUAGAACUUGUGGUUCUAAGAUUUGUUUUCAGCGGUUCUAGAUGUUUUCUUAUGCUACUGUACACUGUCUGGGGUAAAGAACCCCAACCACUACACUCGGUCACCAGUGGCAUCCUGUUCUUUUUAUCUGACCUUUGACCACUUAGCUUUGCCUAUUGAGGUCACACUAUCGACUAAGGUACUAGUGGUCCUGUCAGACCUGUCCUCA
Molecule: long non-coding RNA, 2044 nt
Organism: Oncorhynchus tshawytscha (Chinook salmon)
Lineage: Eukaryota; Metazoa; Chordata; Actinopteri; Salmoniformes; Salmonidae
Source: Ensembl